AGAGUUUGAUCCUGGCUCAGGAUGAACGCUAGCGGCAGGCUUAACACAUGCAAGUCGAGGGGUAUAGGUUUUCGGACCUAGAGACCGGCGCACGGGUGCGUAACGCGUAUGCAAUCUACCUUUUACAGAGGGAUAGCCCAGAGAAAUUUGGAUUAAUACCUCAUAGUAUUAUUGAAUGGCAUCAUUUAAUAAUUAAAGUCACAACGGUAAAAGAUGAGCAUGCGUCCCAUUAGCUUGUUGGUAAGGUAACGGCUUACCAAGGCAACGAUGGGUAGGGGUCCUGAGAGGGAGAUCCCCCACACUGGUACUGACACACGGACCAGACUCCUACGGGAGGCAGCAGUGAGGAAUAUUGGUCAAUGGGCGCAAGCCUGAACCAGCCAUGCCGCGUGCAGGAUGAAGCAUCUAUGGUGUGUAAACUGCUUUUGUACGAGAAGAAACACUCCUUCGUGAAGGAGCUUGACGGUAUCGUAAGAAUAAGGACCGGCUAACUCCGUGCCAGCAGCCGCGGUAAUACGGAGGAUCCAAGCGUUAUCCGGAAUCAUUGGGUUUAAAGGGUCCGUAGGCGGUCUUAUAAGUCAGUGGUGAAAUCUCCCCGCUCAACGGGGAAACGGCCAUUGAUACUGUAGGACUUGAAUUAUUAGGAAGUAACUAGAAUAUGUAGUGUAGCGGUGAAAUGCUUAGAGAUUACAUGGAAUACCAAUUGCGAAGGCAGGUUACUACUAAUGGAUUGACGCUGAUGGACGAAAGCGUGGGUAGCGAACAGGAUUAGAUACCCUGGUAGUCCACGCCGUAAACGAUGGAUACUAGCUGUUGGAAGCAAUUUCAGUGGCUAAGCGAAAGUGAUAAGUAUCCCACCUGGGGAGUACGUUCGCAAGAAUGAAAC
Molecule: ribosomal RNA, 886 nt
Filed under: uncultured bacterium
Lineage: Bacteria
Description: bacterial SSU rRNA
Rfam family: Bacterial small subunit ribosomal RNA
Source: RNAcentral